This 294-nucleotide ribosomal RNA is filed under the name Staphylococcus aureus. RNAcentral's name for it is "partial 16S ribosomal RNA". It matches the Rfam family "Bacterial small subunit ribosomal RNA", at positions 1241 to 1533 of the family's 1533-position model. Lineage: Bacteria; Bacillati; Bacillota; Bacilli; Caryophanales; Staphylococcaceae. The record is from RNAcentral.
AAAGGGCAGCGAAACCGCGAGGUCAAGCAAAUCCCAUAAAGUUGUUCUCAGUUCGGAUUGUAGUCUGCAACUCGACUACAUGAAGCUGGAAUCGCUAGUAAUCGUAGAUCAGCAUGCUACGGUGAAUACGUUCCCGGGUCUUGUACACACCGCCCGUCACACCACGAGAGUUUGUAACACCCGAAGCCGGUGGAGUAACCUUUUAGGAGCUAGCCGUCGAAGGUGGGACAAAUGAUUGGGGUGAAGUCGUAACAAGGUAGCCGUAUCGGAAGGUGCGGCUGGAUCACCUCCUUU